AUUGAACGCUGGCGGCAGGCUUAACACAUGCAAGUCGAGCGGGGAAGGGUAGCUUGCUACCUAACCUAGCGGCGGACGGGUGAGUAAUGCUUAGGAAUCUGCCAUUUAGUGGGGGACAACAUUCCGAAAGGAAUGCUAAUACCGCAUACGUCCUACGGGAGAAAGCAGGGGAUCUUCGGACCUUGCGCUAAAUGAUGAGCCUAAGUCGGAUUAGCUAGUUGGUGGGGUAAAGGCCUACCAAGGCGACGAUCUGUAGCGGGUGUGAGAGGAUGAUCCGCCACACUGGGACGGAGACACGGCCCAGACUCCUACGGGAGGCAGCAGUGGGGAAUAUUGGACAAUGGGCGGAAGCCUGAUCCAGCCAUGCCGCGUGUGUGAAGAAGGCCUUAUGGUUGUAAAGCACUUUAAGCGAGGAGGAGGCUACUUAGAUUAAUACUCUAGGAUAGUGGACGUUACUCGCAGAAUAAGCACCGGCUAACUCUGUGCCAGCCGCCGCAGUAA
This 501-nucleotide ribosomal RNA is filed under the name uncultured bacterium. Its description in RNAcentral is "partial 16S ribosomal RNA". It matches the Rfam family "Bacterial small subunit ribosomal RNA", at positions 30 to 523 of the family's 1533-position model. The record is from RNAcentral.